Vicugna pacos (alpaca) is the source of this 133-nucleotide small nucleolar RNA. RefSeq annotates it as small nucleolar RNA SNORA70. The record is from RefSeq and is a predicted model, not a curated record. NCBI's taxonomy places the organism in Eukaryota, Metazoa, Chordata, Mammalia, Artiodactyla, Camelidae.
CUGCAGUCAAUUAAGCUGACUGCUUUUUUCCUCAUGGGGCCGAAUGUGCAAUGACUGCAAACAGUAUUCUCCUCAGUAGUGUAUGCAGCCUGUUGCCCAUAUGGGUUGCCCCAAAGGGACCUUGGAGACAGCC